UGAGUCUUGCCCCAGGUCAUUUUCUGA
Molecule: non-coding RNA, 27 nt
Filed under: Rattus norvegicus (Norway rat)
Lineage: Eukaryota; Metazoa; Chordata; Mammalia; Rodentia; Muridae
Source: RNAcentral